RNAcentral lists this transfer RNA (72 nucleotides) under Ovis aries (sheep). It matches the Rfam family "tRNA". Rfam says of the family: Transfer RNA (tRNA) molecules are approximately 80 nucleotides in length. Their secondary structure includes four short double-helical elements and three loops (D, anti-codon, and T loops). Lineage: Eukaryota; Metazoa; Chordata; Mammalia; Artiodactyla; Bovidae. The record is from Rfam by way of RNAcentral.
UCCCUGAUAGCUCAGCCGGUAAAGCGUCUGCCUGCAAUGCAGGAGACCCGGGUUCGAUCCCUGGGUCGGGAA